GACGAACGCUGGCGGCGUGCCUAACACAUGCAAGUCGAGCGAAUGAAGUUCCUUCGGGAAUGGAUUUAGCGGCGGACGGGUGAGUAACACGUGGGCAACCUGCCUCAUAGAGGGGAAUAGCCUUCCGAAAGGGUGAUUAAUACCGCAUAAGAUUGUAGUAUCGCAUGAUACAGCAAUUAAAGGAACAAUCCGCUAUGAGAUGGGCCCGCGGCGCAUUAGCUAGUUGGUGAGGUAACGGCUCACCAAGGCGACGAUGCGUAGCCGACCUGAGAGGGUGAUCGGCCACAUUGGGACUGAGACACGGCCCAGACUCCUACGGGAGGCAGCAGUGGGGAAUAUUGCACAAUGGGGGAAACCCUGAUGCAGCAACGCCGCGUGAGUGAUGACGGCCUUCGGGUUGUAAAGCUCUGUCUUCAGGGACGAUAAUGACGGUACCUGAGGAGGAAGCCACGGCUAACUACGUG
Molecule: ribosomal RNA, 464 nt
Filed under: uncultured bacterium
Lineage: Bacteria
Description: partial 16S ribosomal RNA
Rfam family: Bacterial small subunit ribosomal RNA
Source: RNAcentral